UAUCAAUAAGCGGAGGAAAAGAAACCAACAGGGAUUGCCCCAGUAACGGCGAGUGAAGCGGCAACAGCUCAAAUUUGAAAUCUGGCCCCCGGGUCCGAGUUGUAAUUUGUAGAGGAUGCUUUUGGCGAGGUGCCUUCCGAGUUCCCUGGAACGGGACGCCAUAGAGGGUGAGAGCCCCGUCUGGUCGGACACCGAGCCUCUGUAAAGCUCCUUCGACGAGUCGAGUAGUUUGGGAAUGCUGCUCAAAAUGGGAGGUAUAUGUCUUCUAAAGCUAAAUAUUGGCCAGAGACCGAUAGCGCACAAGUAGAGUGAUCGAAAGAUGAAAAGCACUUUGAAAAGAGGGUUAAAAAGUACGUGAAAUUGUUGAAAGGGAAGCGCCUAUGACCAGACUUGGGCCCGGUGAAUCACCCAGCGUUCUCGCUGGUGCACUUCGCCGGGCACAGGCCAGCAUCAGUUUGGCGCGGGGGAGAAAGGUUUCGGGAAUGUGGCUCCCCCGGGAGUGUUAUAGCCCGUUGCGCAAUACCCUGCGCUGGACUGAGGUACGCGCAUUCGCAAGGAUGCUGGCGUAAUGGUCAUCAGCGACCCGUCUUGAAACACGGACCAAGGAGUCGUCUUCGUAUGCGAGUGUUCGGGUGUCAAACCCCUACGCGUAAUGAAAGUGAACGCAGGUGAGAGCUUCGGCGCAUCAUCGACCGAUCCUGAUGUUCUCGGAUGGAUUUGAGUAAGAGCAUACGGGGCCGGACCCGAAAGAAGGUGAACUAUGCCUGUAUAGGGUGAAGCCAGAGGAAACUCUGGUGGAGGCUCGCAGCGGUUCUGACGUGCGAAUCGAUCGUCAAAUAUGGGCAUGGGGGCGAAAGACUAAUCGAACCUUCUAGUAGCUGGUUUC
This 886-nucleotide ribosomal RNA is filed under the name Cordyceps militaris. RNAcentral describes it as "LSU rRNA". It matches the Rfam family "Eukaryotic large subunit ribosomal RNA", at positions 41 to 958 of the family's 3401-position model. Lineage: Eukaryota; Fungi; Ascomycota; Sordariomycetes; Hypocreales; Cordycipitaceae. The record is from RNAcentral.